RNAcentral lists this ribosomal RNA (497 nucleotides) under uncultured bacterium. RNAcentral describes it as "partial 16S ribosomal RNA". It matches the Rfam family "Bacterial small subunit ribosomal RNA", at positions 28 to 507 of the family's 1533-position model. The record is from RNAcentral.
GAUGAACGCUGGCGGCGUGCCUAAUACAUGCAAGUCGAGCGAACGGACGAGAAGCUUGCUUCUCUGAUGUUAGCGGCGGACGGGUGAGUAACACGUGGAUAACCUACCUAUAAGACGGGGAUAACUUCGGGAAACCGGAGCUAAUACCGGAGAAUAUUUUGAACCGCAUGGUUCAAAAGUGAAAGACGGUCUUGCUGGCACUUAUAGAUGGAUCCGGGCUGGAUUAGCUAGUUGGUAAGGUAACGGGUUACCAAGGGAACGAGGCAUAGGCGAGCUGAGAGGGUGAUCGGCCACCCUGGAACUGAGACACGGUCCAGACUCCUACGGGAGGCAGCAGUAGGGAAUCUUCCGCAAUGGGCGAAAGCCUGACGGAGCAACGCCGCGUGAGUGAUGAAGGUCUUCGGAUCGUAAAACUCUGUUAUUAGGGAAGAACAUAUGUGUAAGUAACUGUGCACAUCUUGACGGUACCUAAUCAGAAAGCCACGGCUAACUACGUG